RNAcentral lists this transfer RNA (74 nucleotides) under Spirochaetaceae bacterium. RNAcentral's name for it is "tRNA-Arg". It matches the Rfam family "tRNA". From Rfam's summary of the family: Transfer RNA (tRNA) molecules are approximately 80 nucleotides in length. Lineage: Bacteria; Pseudomonadati; Spirochaetota; Spirochaetia; Spirochaetales; Spirochaetaceae. The record is from RNAcentral.
GCGCCUGUAGCUCAACUGGAUAGAGCGCCAGACUUCGAAUCUGGAGGCCGGCGGUUCGAGUCCGUCCAGGCGCA